RNAcentral lists this small nuclear RNA (138 nucleotides) under Anopheles minimus. Its description in RNAcentral is "U4 spliceosomal RNA". It matches the Rfam family "U4 spliceosomal RNA". From Rfam's summary of the family: U4 small nuclear RNA (U4 snRNA) is a component of the major U2-dependent spliceosome. The structure of U4 snRNA from yeast and human has been reported. The record is from RNAcentral. Lineage: Eukaryota; Metazoa; Arthropoda; Insecta; Diptera; Culicidae.
AGCUUUGCUCAGUAGCGAUAUCGUAACCAACGAGGUACAACCGAGGUGCGAUUAUUGCUAGUUGAAAACUAAAAGUUUAUUUUUGAUUCUACUAAAAUCUUCAAAUGGAUUUAAGUGAAUAUCGACAUAAGUUUUUAU